AAAUCCUGGAGCUCAACUCCAGAACUGCCUUUGAUACUUGCAAUCGUGAGUCCGGAAGAGGUGAGUGGACCUCCUAGUGUAGAGGUGGAAUUCGUAGAUAUUAGGAAGAACACCAGUGGCGAAGGCGGCUCACUGGUCCGGUACUGACGCUGAGGUGCGAAAGCGUGGGGAGCAAACAGG
Molecule: ribosomal RNA, 180 nt
Filed under: uncultured bacterium
Lineage: Bacteria
Description: partial 16S ribosomal RNA
Rfam family: Bacterial small subunit ribosomal RNA
Source: RNAcentral